AUUGAACGCUGGCGGCAUGCCUUACACAUGCAAGUCGAACGGCAACAGGUCUUCGGAUGCUGACGAGUGGCGAACGGGUGAGUAAUACAUCGGAACGUGCCUAGUUGUGGGGGAUAACUACUCGAAAGAGUGGCUAAUACCGCAUGAGAUCCACGGAUGAAAGCAGGGGAUCGCAAGACCUUGUGCUACUAGAGCGGCCGAUGGCAGAUUAGGUAGUUGGUGGGAUAAAAGCUUACCAAGCCGACGAUCUGUAGCUGGUCUGAGAGGACGAUCAGCCACACUGGGACUGAGACACGGCCCAGACUCCUACGGGAGGCAGCAGUGGGGAAUUUUGGACAAUGGGCGAAAGCCUGAUCCAGCAAUGCCGCGUGCAGGAUGAAGGCCUUCGGGUUGUAAACUGCUUUUGUACGGAACGAAAAGCCCCGGGUUAAUACCCUGGGGUCAUGACGGUACCGUAAGAAUAAGCACCGGCUAACUACGUGCCAGCCGCCGCCGUAA
This 498-nucleotide ribosomal RNA is filed under the name uncultured bacterium. RNAcentral describes it as "partial 16S ribosomal RNA". It matches the Rfam family "Bacterial small subunit ribosomal RNA", at positions 30 to 523 of the family's 1533-position model. The record is from RNAcentral.